GCUUAGUGCUAUAAAACCGGAAUGUGCAUGAUUGCUGGAUUUCCCAACACAUCAAUAGGAAUUUAAUCCUAAUUAUCGUCGUCCGCUGACGCCUGACAGUAACCUCACUUCUGUCUGUGCUCCGUUUGACCUUUCGGGAGUGCUUCAGAAUGCGGCAAUGGGGGAUAACGGGAGAUCUUGGCAACCCUCCGUGACUAACGACCUCUCGGUGGUGGCACGAUAACAUUCCCACGCUCUGAGCACGGAUCUGCCACCCGUUUGGCGUGCACCCUGUCGUACGACCGACAAUGGAAACGGACGCAGAAUUAUUUUACCUGACAAUGGUUGUAUUGGAACGUUACGAAAGAAUUGGGUCAAAUCUCCGUGGGCGUAUCCAAUGGACAAUAAUAUCUUCCCAAUCUACUGAUUUCAGCCCAACUAUACAACUCUGGAGCGACCAAUUUCAAUUGAACGUUAGACACAUAAAGUCGCAAUACUACUAGAUUCUCUCUGUUUGUAACCUUUUAGAGUUCCUUCUGAAUAGAGGAACUAUUAAGAGGCCCUCUAAGUACUUCUAAGCCUGUUAGAACCAUUCAAAUAGGUCUCUAAAAAGAUCUAAUAUAGAAUUAGAAUGAUUCAGUGACUAUCUAAAUAUAUUCAGAGCCCAUUCUGAAUAAUUCUAACUCUUUUACUUUUAUAACUAUAUAGAGGGAACUCUAAUGCAGAAUUAGGACUAUUUAGUGCCGCUCUGAAUAUAAUUGAAGGGCCCUUCUGAAAAGUUCUAACAUGGUAAGAAGUAUUUGGAAGAGUCUAAUACAGACUAGGACUAUUAAGAACUAUUUAGAGGCACUUCUAAAUAAUUGUAAAGCAGGUUAGGACUAUUUGAAACUAAUUAGAGGAACUUCUAAAUAAUUUCAAUGAAGUUUAGGCCUGUUUCUAACUAUUUAGAAGAACUUUUAAAUAAUUUCAAUAAAGUUUAGGACUAUUUAGAGGCACUUCCAAAUCAUUUCAAUAAAGUUAAGGCCUAUUUCUAACUAUUUAGAAGAACUUUUAAAUAAUUUCAAUAAAGUUUAGGACUAUUUAGAGGCACUUCCAAAUCAUUCUAAUAAAGUUUAGGUUAGGUUAGGUUAGGUUAGUUAGGACUAUUAAGAACUAAUUAGAGGCACUUCUAAAUAAUUCUAAGACAGGUUAGGACUAUUCAGAGGCACUUCUAAUUAAUUUCAAUAAAGUUUAGACCUAUUUCUUACUAUUUAGAAGAACUUUCAAAUAAUUUCAAUAAAGUUUAGGACUAUUUAGAGGCACUUCCAAAUCAUUCUAAUAAAGUUUAGGUUAGGUUAGGUUAGUUAGGACUAUUAAGAACUAAUUAGAGGCACUUCUAAAUCAUUCUAAUACAGGCUAGGACUUUUGAUAAUUAUUCAAAGGCACUUCUAACUAGUUCUGAUAGGGGCUAGGAUUAUCUAUAACUAUUUAGAGGCACUUCUAACUUCUAAAUAGUUCUAAUAUAGAGUUAGAACUAUUUAGAGACCCUUCAAAUAGUUCUAUCCAUUUAGAGGCCCUCUAAAUAGUUUUAACCCUGUAUACCACCGAUGGCAACUCCGAACCGAAGGUAAAUAUACCAGAUUGGACAUCUAGUGUACUUACUUUCGGUUGCUCUCCGUUAGAACGUUAGUUUUUUCUGUAGAAUUAGAGACUGUACUAUAAUAAUGAAAAUUGUAAUAUCAAUAAUAAAAAAAAAGAGGUA
Long non-coding RNA from Harmonia axyridis, 1720 nucleotides. RefSeq lists it as uncharacterized. The transcript has 3 exons. NCBI's taxonomy places the organism in Eukaryota, Metazoa, Arthropoda, Insecta, Coleoptera, Coccinellidae. The record is from RefSeq and is a predicted model, not a curated record.